RNAcentral lists this ribosomal RNA (376 nucleotides) under uncultured bacterium. Its description in RNAcentral is "bacterial SSU rRNA". It matches the Rfam family "Bacterial small subunit ribosomal RNA", at positions 524 to 898 of the family's 1533-position model. The record is from RNAcentral.
AACGGAGGGUGCAAGCGUUGUUCGGAAUUACUGGGCGUAAAGCGCGUGCAGGUGGUUUUCUAAGUUUCGUGUGAAAGCCCACGGCUCAACCGUGGAACGGCACGGAAAACUGGAAGACUUGAAUACGGGAGAAGAGGGCGGAAUUCCCAGUGUAGAGGUGAAAUUCGUAGAUAUUGGGAGGAACACCGGUGGCGAAAGCGGCUCUCUAGACCGAUAUUGACGCUCAUACGCGAGAGCGUGGGUAGCAAACAGGAUUAGAUACCCUGGUAGUCCACGCUGUAAACGAUGGAUGCUAGGUGUUGCGGGAGUUGACCCCCGCAGUGCCGAAGUCAACACAUUAAGCAUCCCGCCUGGGAAGUACGGUCGCAAGACUAAA